GAUGAACGCUGGCGGCGUGCCUAACACAUGCAAGUCGAGCGAAAACAUGAGGAGCGCUUGCCUUUGACGUUGGCGACGGACGGGCGGGUGAGACGUGCAUAACCAACCUAUAAUUCUGGGAGAACUACGGGGGACCAGGUCUAAUACCGGCUAAUAGAUUGAACUGGAUGGCUCAAUAGUUAAACACGGCUUUGGUGUCUGAGAUAGAUGGAUCCGCGCCGCAUUAGCUUGUUGGUAAGGUAACGGCUUACCAAGGCGACGAUGCGUAGCCGAUCUGAGGGGGUGAUCAGCCACACUGGAACUGAGACACGGUCCAGACUCCUACGGGAGGCAGCAGUGGGGAAUCUUCGACAAUGGGCGAAAGCCUGACCGAGCCACGCCGCGUGGGUGAUGAAGGUCUUCGGAUCGUAAAACUCUGUUGUUAGGAAAGAACAAAUGUGUGAGUAACUAUGCACGUUUUGACGGUACCUAAUCAAUAAGCACCGGCUAACUCCGUG
Molecule: ribosomal RNA, 497 nt
Filed under: uncultured bacterium
Lineage: Bacteria
Description: partial 16S ribosomal RNA
Rfam family: Bacterial small subunit ribosomal RNA
Source: RNAcentral